UCCUACACGUGAUACAUACAGCCCGGCCUUCCCCUGUCCUACACGUGAUACAUACAGCCCGGCCUCCUCCUGUCCUACAAGUGACACAUACAGCCCGGCCUUCUCCUGUCCUUCACGUGAUACAUACAGCUGGGCCUUCUCCUGUCCUACAAGUGACACAUACAGCCCGGCCUUCUCCUGUCCUUCACGUGAUACAUACAGCUGGGCCUUCUCCUGUCCUUCAUGUGAUACAUACAGCCCGGCCUUCUCCUGUCCUACACAUGAUACAUACAGCCCGGCCUUCUCCUGUCCUACAAGUGACACAUACAGCCCGGCCUUCUCCUGUCCUACAAGUGACACAUACAGCCCGGCCUUCUCCUGUCCUUCACGUGAUACAUACAGCUCGGCCUUCUCCUGUCCUACAGUGAUACAUACAGCCCGGCCUUCUCCUGUCCUACACGUGAUACAUACAGCCCGGCCUUCUCCUGUCCUACACGUGAUACAUACAGCCCGGCCUUCUCCUGUCCUACACGUGAUACAUACAGCCCGGCCUUCUCCUGUCCUACACGUGAUACAUACAGCCCGGCCUUCUCCUGUUCUCUGUCACCAAGGCCUGCGAAUCAUGAAUGUUUGGCUGGAAUUUUCAGGGAGUUUCAUUUUGUACUUCUAGAGGUUUGUUGAUUUCUAGAUGUUUUAAUGAUGCAUUCUGUAAUGUUUCUCAUAAAAAUAACAAUUGGUAAAGUUAUACCUCUCCCCCCCUCCCCCCAUCAGGUAUUACAUUUUGGAAGAAGGAGACGCUGGAAAAGGAUGUCCAGACAACAUCCCAGGAGAACACCUGCUUUGACAUAUUAGCAUCGGACACCAUGGCUGAUAAAUCGUCCGCAUUAAAUAUUAAGACUUCCUUGAAAGCCAGUGUCCUCUCUAGUCUGAUACAUGUUGGUGGAUCUGCUAAUUUCCUGCACGAUAUGAAAACGUCCAAAACACAGGCCCGGAUUACUCUGAAAUAUUGUAGAAGCACAAGGUAUUCCCAGCUCAGCAUGAACCAUCUGAGUCCUGGGAACCUAUCUUAUCACGAUGGGUUUGAUAAAGGAAUCGCAACUCAUGUGGUUACCGGGAUUUUAUAUGGAGCCCAAGCUUUUUUUAUAUUUGAUCAAGAUGUCAAGCCAGAACAAAAUGCUAUGGAUGUACAAGGAAAUCUCGAAGCAAUGAUCAGGAAAAUACCCCAAAUUGCAGGAAAUGCCCAAAUAAACAGCACAGUGAAGGAAACAGUUUGUAAAUUUAGAUGUAAAUUUCAUGGGGAUUUUGCUCUUGACAGAAAUCCCGUGAAUUAUGAGGAUGCCAUUAAUAUUUACGCCAGCC
This is a non-coding RNA of Pelobates cultripes (western spadefoot toad), 1338 nucleotides long. The record is from the annotation of a GenBank genome assembly. Lineage: Eukaryota; Metazoa; Chordata; Amphibia; Anura; Pelobatidae.